AUGUUCCUUUCUCAAUUCAUUCAUGAGUAGAUUAUAAUGUUGUCGUAAUACAUGAAGUCUUGCUUGAAAAUGCUUCGGGUACCUGACUGUGGAAAAAAGAAUAGAAAUUACAAUAAUAAAGUCCUAAUUCUAAUAGAAUACUAAUAAUGCUCUAAUUAGACCAUAAUAAUGUUAAACAAGCUUAAUCAAAUUCAAAAAAAACUCAAGAAAUUUCAAACAAAUAAUAAAAAUUCUUAAAGAAAUAUUAGAAGGAUCACAAAUAUCACUCAAAUACAUCUCAAUUCAAUCUUAAUUUAAUUCUAGUUAAAAUUCUAUUGAACUUCAUUAAAACUUUAGGCCAAACCUAAUUAAAUCUUAAAUCCUAAUAAAAUCCUAAAUCCUAAAUCAAACCCUAAACAAAUCUUAAACAAAAUCCUAAUCAAAUCCUAAUCAAAUCCUAAUCCAAAUCCUAAACCCUAAAUCAAAUCAUAAUCCAAAUCCUAAAUAAAAUCCUAAUCAAACCCUAAACCAAAUCUUAAACCAAAUCCUAAUCCAAAUCCUAAAUCCUAAAUCAAAUUGUAAUCCAAAUCCUGAAUCCUAAAUUAAAUCCUAACUAAAUCCUAAAUCAAAUCCUAAUCCAAACCCUAAAGCCUAAAUCAAAUCCUAACUUUAAAUCAAACCUUAACCAAAUCCUAAUCCAAAUCCUAACUUUAAAUCAAACCUUAACCAAAUCCUAAUCCAAAUCCUAAACCUUAAACCAAAUCCUAAAUAAAACCCUAAUCAAACCCUAAAUUAAAUCCUAAAUCAAAUCCUAAACAAAUCUUAAACCAAACUCCAACCAAAUCUUAAAUCAAACCCUAACUAAAUCCUAACCAAAUCUUGAUACAAAUCCUAAACCCUAAACUAAAUCCUAACCAAAUCCUAAAUCCUGAAUCAAAUCCUAA
RNAcentral lists this long non-coding RNA (923 nucleotides) under Physcomitrium patens. RNAcentral's name for it is "long non-coding RNA (PPAT_LNC011095)". Lineage: Eukaryota; Viridiplantae; Streptophyta; Bryopsida; Funariales; Funariaceae. The record is from RNAcentral.